Molecule: ribosomal RNA, 251 nt
Filed under: uncultured bacterium
Lineage: Bacteria
Description: partial 16S ribosomal RNA
Rfam family: Bacterial small subunit ribosomal RNA
Source: RNAcentral
GCAAGUCGAGGGAGAAGUUUUGUGCUUGCACAGAACAGAAACAGGCGAACGGGUGCGUAUAACGUAUGUAACCUACAUCUAACUGGGGGAUAGCCCGAAGAAAUUCGGAUAAAUACCCUAUAAUAUUUACAUACCGCAUGGUAUGUAUCUUAAAACUCCGGUGGUUAUAGAUGGGCAUGCGGCUUAUUAGUUUGUUGGUGAGGUAACGGCUCACCAAGACUACGAUAAGUAGGGGGUCUGAGAGGAUGAUC